UCUGGUUGAUCCUGCCAGUAGUCAUAUGCUCGUCUCAAAGAUUAAGCCAUGCAUGUCUAAGUAUAAAUAGUAUACAGUGAAACUGCGAAUGGCUCAUUAAAACAGUUAUAGUUUAUUUGAUAAUUGACAAUUACAUGGAUAACCGUGGUAAUUCUAGAGCUAAUACAUGCUUAAACGCCCGACUUUAUGGAAGGGUGGUAUUUAUUAGACUGAAGCCAAUAUUCCUUGUGUCUAUUGCGGUGAUUCAUAAUAACUGAUCGAAUCUCUUUUUGAGAUAAAUCAUUCAAGUUUCUGCCCUAUCAGCUUUCGAUGGUAGUGUAUUGGACUACCAUGGCAGUAACGGGUAACGAAGAAUUAGGGUUCGAUUUCGGAGAGGGAGCAUGAGAAACGGCUACCACAUCUAAGGAAGGCAGCAGGCGCGUAAAUUACCCAAUCCUGACUCAGGGAGGUAGUGACAAGAAAUAGCAAACCGGGAACCUCAUGGUUUCACGGUAUUGCAAUGAGAACAAUUUAAAACCCUUAGCGAGAAUCAAGUGGAGGACAAGUCUGGUGCCAGCACCCGCGGUAAUUCCAGCUCCACUAGCGUAUAUUAAAGUUGUUGCAGUUAAAAAGCUCGUAGUUGAACCUCUGUCUGGGGCUAGUUUUGGCUUUGGUCAGGCUAGUUCUAGGCAUCCGCCUACAAGACUUAGAGGGCAUUCAGUUGUUCACUAGGAGGAGUAGGCAUUUUACUUUGAAAAAAUUAGAGUGUUUAAGGCAGGCAAUCGCCCGCAUAUAUUAGCAUGGAAUAAUAGAAUAGGACACUUUUCCAUUUCGUUGGUUAUUGGAAUCGUGUAAUGAUUAAUAGGGACAGUUGUGGGCAUUUGUAUUUAAUUGUCAGAGGUGAAAUUCUUGGAUUUAUUAAAGACAAACUAACGCGAAAGCAUUUGCCAAGGAUGUUUUCAUUAAUCAAGAACGAAAGUUAGGGGAUCAAAGACGAUCAGAUACCGUCCUAGUCUUAACUAUAAACUAUUCCGACUCAAUGUUUGACUGGCUUAUAUAACCAGUUGAGCGUUGUAUGAGAAAUCAAAGUCUUUAGGUUCUGGGGGGAGUAUGGUUGCAAAGCUGAAACUUAAAGGAAUUGACGGAAGAGCACAACCAGGAGUGGAUUCUGCGGCUUAAUUUGACUCAACACGGGGAAACUUACCAGGUUAAAACAAUAGUGGGAUUGACAGUUUGAGAGCGCUUUCUUGAUUGGUUGGGUGGUGGUGCAUGGCCGUUCUUAGUUGGUGGAGUGAUUUGUCUGCUUAAUUGCGUUAAUGAACGAGACCUUAACCUGCUUACUAGACUGGCGAUCAUCAAUCGUUAGCUCUUCUUAGAGGGACUUUGGUCG
This 1369-nucleotide ribosomal RNA is filed under the name metagenome. Its description in RNAcentral is "SSU rRNA". It matches the Rfam family "Eukaryotic small subunit ribosomal RNA", at positions 1 to 1428 of the family's 1831-position model. The record is from RNAcentral.